AAAAACUUUGAAAUUGUUGUCUACCAUUUUUAAAGAACAGACCCAUCAUUUUAUUAGGGUUUCGGGAUCCCUAUGCCCCAAAUGGUCGCCGCAAUGCCAAAAGAUUAGAGGAAAUUUCUCCCUCCAAAGGCCAACUUCUACGACAGAGGAAGAGUUACCGACGAUGGAGGAGCGAGUCAACUCAGGUAUUCCUCUCUCUUUUCUCUUUUUUUUUUGUUUUUUACACACAAAUAAAAGGAAUAAAAAAAAAUCAAAAGAACCAAACAAUCGAAAGGAAAAACUGAAAACAGCUUCAAAAUUUGAUUUGUAUUCAUAUUUUUGCGUCUGUUUUCUUGUGUAUUCCCUUUGCUAGUGUAUUCGUGAAAAAAAAGAAACGACCCCCUAUUCGCACACUUCCUUUACUGUAAGCAGUGAUUGAUGAUGCGCAGAUGCCAUGGCAAAUCAAAUCUCAAGGAUUGUCCGCUUCGACUUCGAGAUCCCAUCUUUACUUCGAUUGCAACGAAGAAGAUGGGCUACAAUCGCUAAGGUAAAUCCCUUUCUUUCUUUUUAUUUUCUAAAUGCGAUGAUGAAAGAUUUGAAGAAAUAAAUUACCAAGUAAAAAAAGAAAUUGCAGAAAUCAAAACAGAGAUUACUUUUUCAAAAAUGGCUUUCGAAUAUUUCCUAUUCAAUCUGCGUGUUUAGUAUGGGUAACCCCCAUACAAUGAGAAUGUUUAUGGCUUUAUAGCCGAAAAUAAAAAAGGAAAAUACAAAGAAUUUUUGUUGUUUUUUCUCUUUGUUGUGUUGUCCUUUUUGCAUCUGUGCGUAGGUAGGAAGGUACGGAGCUCGGUGGUUGAACGGCGCUGUGCUGGAGAUGAGGACGAGGGGUUGCAGUGCCUAGUAGCUAGGGUUUUCGCCCUUCAGCUGAAGCUUGUUUCAGUUUUGGGCCGUUUGGGCCAGGGGUAUUUUUGGGCUACUUGGGUUAAUUCGGUUUUGGGUUUUAAAUUUGGGUUUGGGUUUGUAAUGUUUUGAGUUUAAAAUUGGGUUGUGUAAUUUGGACUUGUGGACUGUAUUAUUUUUUGUUUUGGGAUUGAUUUUUGGUUGUUAGGCCCGGGCGGAUUUGGCCCAUUACAAAGCCAAAUCAAAUAUAAGUUCAAAAGAAAAAGAAAUCACCACUACAAGGUUUGAUACAUCUUCAAUGUCAACAACAUUUUCUAGAAACGUAAAAAACUUCAUCAAAUAGCAAACAAACAUAUACUUCUUAUAUAGCAUAAGAACAACAAUCCCAACACAUCAUAAAAACCAACACUCAAACCAAUAGCUUCCCUUUUUUUUCAACAAACUUGUCAAUCAUAAUCUCUUGAUUAGACCGAAGAAAAACGAAUGUUGAAGAAUAUGGGGAUUAAAA
This 1384-nucleotide long non-coding RNA is filed under the name Gossypium barbadense (sea-island cotton). RNAcentral describes it as "long non-coding RNA (GBAR_LNC004650)". Lineage: Eukaryota; Viridiplantae; Streptophyta; Magnoliopsida; Malvales; Malvaceae. The record is from RNAcentral.